GUGCCAGCAGCCGCGGUAAUACAGAGGGUGCGAGCGUUGUCCGGAAUCACUGGGCGUAAAGGGCGCGUAGGCGGCUUGGUAAGCGUGCGGUGAAAGCUCGGGGCUCAACCCUGAGUCUGCCGUGCGAACUGCCAGGCUGGAGCACGGUAGAGGCACAUGGAAUUCCGGGUGUAGCGGUGGAAUGCGUAGAGAUCCGGAAGAACACCGGUGGCGAAGGCGGUGUGCUGGGCCGUUGCUGACGCUGAGGCGCGACAGCGUGGGGAGCAAACAGGAUUAGAUACCCCGGUAGUCC
This 292-nucleotide ribosomal RNA is filed under the name uncultured bacterium. RNAcentral's name for it is "partial 16S ribosomal RNA". It matches the Rfam family "Bacterial small subunit ribosomal RNA", at positions 505 to 796 of the family's 1533-position model. The record is from RNAcentral.